This 253-nucleotide ribosomal RNA is filed under the name uncultured bacterium. Its description in RNAcentral is "partial 16S ribosomal RNA". It matches the Rfam family "Bacterial small subunit ribosomal RNA", at positions 524 to 776 of the family's 1533-position model. The record is from RNAcentral.
GACGAACCGUGCGAACGUUGUUCGGAAUCACUGGGCUUAAAGGGCGCGUAGGCGGGCUAGCAAGUCAGGGGUGAAAUCCCACGGCUCAACCGUGGAAGUGCCUUUGAUACUGCGAGUCUUGAGGGAGGUAGGGGCGUGCGGAACUUCCGGUGGAGCGGUGAAAUGCGUAGAUAUCGGAAGGAACACCCGUGGCGAAAGCGGCUCACUGGGUCUUUUCUGACGCUGAUGCACGAAAGCUAGGGGAGCAAACGGG